Molecule: ribosomal RNA, 253 nt
Filed under: uncultured bacterium
Lineage: Bacteria
Description: partial 16S ribosomal RNA
Rfam family: Bacterial small subunit ribosomal RNA
Source: RNAcentral
UACGGAGGGUGCAAACGUUAUCCGGAAUCACUGGGCGUAAAGAGCAUGUAGGUGGUUGGUAAAGUGGGCGAUUAAAGACCGAUGCUCAACAUCGGGACUGUUGCCUAUACUCACCGACUUGAGGAAGACAGGGGCAAGCGGAACUUUAGGUGUAGGAGUGAAAUCCGUAGAUAUCUAAAGGAACACCAAUGGCGAAGGCAGCUUGCUGGGUCUUUUCUGACACUGAGAUGCGAAAGCGUGGGGAGCGAACGGG